GCGCCUUUGAAUCUCCUCUUGACCGGC
This 27-nucleotide small RNA is filed under the name Bombyx mori (domestic silkworm). RNAcentral describes it as "ovarian small RNA-16883". The record is from RNAcentral. Lineage: Eukaryota; Metazoa; Arthropoda; Insecta; Lepidoptera; Bombycidae.